GCUCGCCAAAUUACUACGAGUGAAAACUUAAAACUUAAAGGACUUGACGGUACUUCACACUCAACCUAGAGGAGCCUGUCUACUAACCGAUAAUCCACGAUUAACCCAGCCACUUCUAGCCAUCAGUCUAUAUACCGCCGUCGCCAGCCUACCUUGCAAAAGAAACAAAGCGGGCAUAAUAGUGUCAGCACUAACACGACAGGUCGAGGUGUAACUAAUGAAGUGGACCAAGAUGGGCUACAUUUUCUAACAUAGACUAUACGAACAAAGAUAUGAAAUCAUCUUUCAAAGGCGGAUUUAGCAGUAAGCUGAGAACAUAAUACUCAACUGAAAUCAAUGCAAUGAAGUGCGUACACACCGCCCGUCAUCCCUGUGACACAAAAACAAUAAUAAAUAAUACAAUAAUAUAUAACUAAAGCAGGGCAAGUCGUAACAUGUGUAAGCGUACUGGAAAGUGUGCUUAGAAA
Molecule: ribosomal RNA, 467 nt
Filed under: Loxocemus bicolor (Mexican python)
Lineage: Eukaryota; Metazoa; Chordata; Lepidosauria; Squamata; Loxocemidae
Description: partial 12S ribosomal RNA
Rfam family: Bacterial small subunit ribosomal RNA
Source: RNAcentral